Molecule: ribosomal RNA, 253 nt
Filed under: uncultured bacterium
Lineage: Bacteria
Description: partial 16S ribosomal RNA
Rfam family: Bacterial small subunit ribosomal RNA
Source: RNAcentral
GACGAACCGUGCGAACGUUGUUCGGAUUCACUGGGCUUAAAGGGCGCGUAGGCGGGUUACCAAGUCAGGGGUGAAAUCUUUCGGCUCAACCGGAAAAGUGCCCCUGAUACUGGUAGUCUUGAGGGAGGUAGGGGCAUGUGGAACUUCCGGUGGAGCGGUGAAAUGCGUAGAUAUCGGAAGGAAGACCAGUGGCGAAGGCGGGUCUCUGGACAGUUCCUGACGCUGAGGCACGAAGGCCAGGGGAGCAAACGGG